This 456-nucleotide ribosomal RNA is filed under the name uncultured organism. Its description in RNAcentral is "partial 16S ribosomal RNA". It matches the Rfam family "Bacterial small subunit ribosomal RNA", at positions 331 to 804 of the family's 1533-position model. The record is from RNAcentral.
GUACACUCCUACGGGAGGCAGCAGUGGGGAAUUUUACGCAAUGGGGGAAACCCUGACGUAGCGACACCGCGUGAGCGAAGAAGCCCUUUGGGGUGUAAAGCUCUGUCAGCUGGAACGAAAACAAUGACGGUACCAGCAGAGGAAGCAUCGGCUAACUACGUGCCAGCAGCCGCGGUAAGACGUAGGAUGCGAGCGUUGUCCGGAUUUAUUGGGCGUAAAGAGUUCGUAGGUGGUUUGUUAAGUUUGGUGUUAAAGAUCGGGGCUCAACCCUGGGACUGCACUGAAUACUGGCAGACUCGAGUGUGGUAGAGGCUAGUGGAAUUCCCAGUGUAGCGGUGAAAUGCGUAGAUAUUGGGAAGAACACCGGUGGCGUAGGCGACUAGCUGGGCCAUAACUGACGCUGAGGAACGAAAGCCAGGGGAGCGAAUGGGAUUAGAAACCCGGGUAGUCCCAUGA